This 73-nucleotide transfer RNA is filed under the name Entomophthora muscae. Its description in RNAcentral is "tRNA-Ala". It matches the Rfam family "tRNA". Rfam says of the family: Transfer RNA (tRNA) molecules are approximately 80 nucleotides in length. Their secondary structure includes four short double-helical elements and three loops (D, anti-codon, and T loops). Lineage: Eukaryota; Fungi; Entomophthoromycota; Entomophthoromycetes; Entomophthorales; Entomophthoraceae. The record is from RNAcentral.
GGGGAAUUAGCUCAAAUGGUAGAGCGCUCGCUUAGCAUGCGAGAGGCACGGGGAUCAAUGCCUCGAUUCUCCA